This 2688-nucleotide long non-coding RNA is filed under the name Olea europaea subsp. europaea. The record is from RNAcentral. Lineage: Eukaryota; Viridiplantae; Streptophyta; Magnoliopsida; Lamiales; Oleaceae.
AAGGGCGAAAACUUGCCAACAUAAAUAUACCAGCUAGGGUUAAUUAGGUUAGGUUCUAUUCUCAUCAAAAUCAUGAAAAAACUCCUUUGAGUCUGUCUUUCCAUUUAUAGAAAUUUUCUUCUUUGAAAACAAGAAUUUAGGGUUACAGUAUUGAAGAAUAUGAAGAAGACACAGAUAGUGAUCAGAAAAGAUGGAUCAAAAAGAGGUUCUUCGAGGGCUGUAAGGUAUGCGGAAUGUCAGAAAAACCAUGCAGCCAACAUCGGCGGCUAUGCCGUGGACGGCUGCCGGGAAUUCAUGGCCAGCGGAGGAGAAGGAACAGGCGGCGCGCUUACGUGUGCGGCCUGCAGCUGCCACAGGAAUUUUCAUCGAAGAGAAGUGGAAUCUGAGGUGGUUUGUGAAAAUUCAUAAAAUUCGAUAAGUAAUUGUUUGCUCUUUGUCUAUCUGUUCGUGUUUGAAAUUAAUGUUAUGUUCCGUACAUGAGGGAGUAAUUUAAUUACAAAAAGUUGAUCUAAUUUGAUAUAAGUUCAACUCAUCAAGAAAUGAUUGUGGAUCAGAACUGUGGAUUUAAAUUCAAGAUCCACAUAUAUUUAAACCGAGCGUAUCAAGAAUUUUUUUAUAUCCAAGGGUUUCAUUUCGAUGUAUUUUUCGCCUAUUUCAUCGGCACAUAACCCUAUAAAUUGGAUAAUUUUUUUCUUCAGAUUCUUCAAAGGAAACGUAUCAGAUUGCAAAAUAUGCACAUGUAAGUUAUAGCAAGAAUUCUCAUCUUCCACAGUUCUUAUUCCUCUCUCUCUCUCUCUCUCUCUCUCUUUCUCUCGGAUCAGUAUAUGUAUUGAUUGUGCCUAUGUGUGUACGCAUUUUUCUCAUAAAGAAAUUUAGACCCUUUGGGUAAAGUAGCCAAACCCAAUAUAUUCACAAAUCUGUAAUACUUUCCAUGGUUUUGUAUACAGGUGUAGUUGUCCUUUUAUCAAGCUGUAGCACUCAAAUCCAGUUAAGCUAAACAAUAUAAUAGGCUAUGAAUCUUCUAGCUUUUGGCAUUCUUAAGGAACCAAAAGACAGGAUAUGCUAGUAAUCCAACUCUUCAACUCAUUUUUCUAUUCAUCCAUUAACUUAGUUGGUCAGAAAACAAUUGCAAGACUACAUUUUUUAUUUGAAUCCAUCCAUCAUCUCAAGUUAAAGGAAACAUCCGUUUCAUGUCAACUGGCUUAGGCCCACAUAUCUACUCAUGUUUCCUUGCCAUUAUAUUGAGACAAAAUGAGAAUUGUAGAAUAAUGGAUCACAUUAUGCAUUUAGAGAUUCAAAGAAAAUUAUGUAUUCUUAAUUAACUUAUCCUAAACUAUAACAGAAGGUAAAGUGAUUUUGCACCAAAGUUACCUAAACUAUAGGAGAAGAUAAAGGGAAUUAAGAUAGAACAAUCGUAAUUUUAAUUAAGAUAGUAUUACAAUCAUAAUUUGUUGUUGAGGUAUAUUUGAAGAAGCUUGAAUCAAGGAGUUUGAUUUGGUUGACUAGAUAUUUUGAGAUUUUGAGGAUUGUUUUCUUACCUGCAUUGCAACACAGUGUUUCCAUUGGUAGCAAUAUUUUAAGAUCAAGCAAAGUUCAUAAGGAAAUGAAUUAUUCCCUAUGUACGGGGAAUAAUCUCACAGAAAUUCCACAUGGCCCUCACAUGGGGUGCCCCAUGUGAAUAUUUUAUUUCGGUGGACCCCGCUGUUGUGUGUAUUCUGUAAAAUAUCGGUAUAUAUUUCCCCUGUACGUGUAGAAUGGUCCUAAGGAAAUCAACAAUUUGGUUUUUUGUUAGAUAUGUGAGAAAAAUAAAGUUGUCAAGCUACUACUCCGUGAUGAAUGAAAUGAAAAUCAAUUGCAAGUUGUUGCUUAGGAGAGUAUAACACUGGGUUUGGAUCAGCAAAUGUAUGUUUUGGGGUCGGUAUUGUUAUAGCUGAUAAAAAUUCAUAAUGCUCAUCAAGAAGCUUAAAAAAGUCAUGAGCUUCACAUGAGAAAAGCUAUUGGUUGAAGUUCGAUCAUCUAGAUUAUGAGUCCAAUUGAUGUAUGAGAAGGCAUGUAAAUGUCCUCGAUGAACAAACCAUUAUUGAUAGUAUGCUUGAGUUAACAUACCACAUGUUCAAUGUUGUGAUUUCAAGAAUGUUGGUUUAUGAAUCGUGACAACGAAGGAUAUGUAAAAGGUGAAGACAUGUCAAAGAAUAUUGGUCGAGGAUGACCAACAAAAAUGUGAUUUUUUUUUUUAUUAUUUUUUUUAAUUUUUAGAAUUGGAUCUAGGUUGUGGCGCCUCAAAGACCUCGUUUUAUUCUUAUACUUGAAGCGAAGGUGAUUCUAUGCAAGAUCCUUGAUAUCAAAAGUUGGAAUCAAGAGAUGUAGCUACUUAUGUGAUUGAAGUCCUCACCGCAGCACAAAGAACAAUGUCAUUGAAACUACCAUAUUUGGAACAUAAAGAGAUUAAUUAGCUCAUAUAGGUGAUGACAUUGUAAGAGCCACUAGAUGGGUAUUGGGUAGUGUAAACGUUGACGGAAGUUGCAUGACAAAUGAGGAAAUAACUUCAGUAAUAUUAGACACUAUAGCAAUGAUAUUCACAAAGUAGAUAAGUAACAUGUUUGGCUUAUUUUUUUAUAAGAUUCAUUAGAUUAAUUAGUUGCUUGGCUAUGGGUAUAGAUUUUUUAUUUUGUAAGAGGGAGAUGUAAC